Molecule: non-coding RNA, 31 nt
Filed under: Mus musculus (house mouse)
Lineage: Eukaryota; Metazoa; Chordata; Mammalia; Rodentia; Muridae
Source: RNAcentral
UAAAUGAAAGCUAGUUAGGGGCAUUUGGUAC